Molecule: ribosomal RNA, 497 nt
Filed under: uncultured bacterium
Lineage: Bacteria
Description: partial 16S ribosomal RNA
Rfam family: Bacterial small subunit ribosomal RNA
Source: RNAcentral
GAUGAACGCUGGCGGCGUGCCUAAUACAUGCAAGUCGAGCGAACAGAUGAGGAGCUUGCUCCUCUGACGUUAGCGGCGGACGGGGGAGUAACACGUGGAUAACCUACCUAUAAGACUGGGAUAACUUCGGGAAACCGGAGCUAAUACCGGAUAAUAUAUUGAACCGCAUGGUUCAAUAGUGAAAGACGGUUUUGCUGUCACUUAUAGAUGGAUCCGCGCCGCAUUAGCUAGUUGGUAAGGUAACGGCUUACCAAGGCAACGAUGCGUAGCCGACCUGAGAGGGUGAUCGGCCACACUGGAACUGAGACACGGUCCAGACUCCUACGGGAGGCAGCAGUAGGGAAUCUUCCGCAAUGGGCGAAAGCCUGACGGAGCAACGCCGCGUGAGUGAUGAAGGUCUUCGGAUCGUAAAACUCUGUUAGUAGGGAAGAACAAAUGUGUAAGUAACUAUGCACGUCUUGACGGUACCUAAUCAGAAAGCCACGGCUAACUACGUG